GCGGGGUUGCCCUAGCCUGGUAGGGGGCAGGCCUGCUAAGCCUGUGGUCCGUUUGGGCCGCGCGGGUUCAAAUCCCGCACCCCGCGCCA
RNAcentral lists this transfer RNA (89 nucleotides) under Candidatus Bathyarchaeota archaeon. Its description in RNAcentral is "tRNA-Ser". It matches the Rfam family "tRNA". Rfam says of the family: Transfer RNA (tRNA) molecules are approximately 80 nucleotides in length. Their secondary structure includes four short double-helical elements and three loops (D, anti-codon, and T loops). Lineage: Archaea; Thermoproteati; Candidatus Bathyarchaeota. The record is from RNAcentral. RNAcentral also lists the same sequence under 7 other names.